ACAUGCAGAGAACUUUCCAGAGAUGGAUUGGUGCCUUCGGGAACUCUGACACAGGUGCUGCAUGGCUGUCGUCAGCUCGUGUCGUGAGAUGUUGGGUUAAGUCCCGUAACGAGCGCAACCCUUGUCCUUAGUUACCAGCACGUUAAGGUGGGCACUCUAAGGAGACUGCCGGUGACAAACCGGAGGAAGGUGGGAUGACGUCAAGUCAUCAUGGCCCUUACGGCCUGGGCUACACACGUGCUACAAUGGUCGGUACAAAGGGUUGCCAAGCCGCGAGGUGGAGCUAAUCCCAUAAAACCGAUCGUAGUCCGGAUCGCAGUCUGCAACUCGACUGCGUGAAGUCGGAAUCGCUAGUAAUCGUGAAUCAGAAUGUCACGGUGAAUACGUUCCCGGGCCUU
Molecule: ribosomal RNA, 398 nt
Filed under: uncultured Pseudomonas sp.
Lineage: Bacteria; Pseudomonadati; Pseudomonadota; Gammaproteobacteria; Pseudomonadales; Pseudomonadaceae
Description: bacterial SSU rRNA
Rfam family: Bacterial small subunit ribosomal RNA
Source: RNAcentral